ACGCCCCAAACACAGGCUUCCCUGGGCUGCCCUGCUCACGGCUGGGGCCAGGGUCUGGCUGGGGCCCGGGCGGUCUGGCUGCAGUUUGAUCACUCUUCCUCCAGGCCGAAAUCGGAGAGGCACUCUUCUUCCCCUUGACAGAGAGGCUGGUGCUAUUCCCAAAGAAUACAGAGGAGGUCUUAAACUCAUCACCGCCACAUUCCUGCUUUUGUAACAAAUCAGAGUAGCACCAUACACACUACCUCUAUUAUAUUUUCAUUAAUUUCAUUAAAAACUUCCCAAUUUCA
Long non-coding RNA from Monodelphis domestica (gray short-tailed opossum), 287 nucleotides. RefSeq lists it as uncharacterized. The record is from RefSeq and is a predicted model, not a curated record. NCBI's taxonomy places the organism in Eukaryota, Metazoa, Chordata, Mammalia, Didelphimorphia, Didelphidae.